RNAcentral lists this transfer RNA (76 nucleotides) under Gemmataceae bacterium. Its description in RNAcentral is "tRNA-Pro". It matches the Rfam family "tRNA". From Rfam's summary of the family: Transfer RNA (tRNA) molecules are approximately 80 nucleotides in length. Their secondary structure includes four short double-helical elements and three loops (D, anti-codon, and T loops). Lineage: Bacteria; Pseudomonadati; Planctomycetota; Planctomycetia; Gemmatales; Gemmataceae. The record is from RNAcentral.
CGGGGCGUAGCGCAGUCUGGCCUAGCGCGUCUGCUUUGGGAGCAGAAAGUCGUCGGUUCGAAUCCGACCGCCCCGA